Molecule: non-coding RNA, 26 nt
Filed under: Mus musculus (house mouse)
Lineage: Eukaryota; Metazoa; Chordata; Mammalia; Rodentia; Muridae
Source: RNAcentral
UGCUGUGACAGAUGUUGGUAUAGUUU